Molecule: ribosomal RNA, 632 nt
Filed under: uncultured bacterium
Lineage: Bacteria
Description: bacterial SSU rRNA
Rfam family: Bacterial small subunit ribosomal RNA (bases 1-543)
Source: RNAcentral
CCUACGGGAGGCAGCAGUGGGGAAUUUUGGACAAUGGGGGCAACCCUGAUCCAGCCAUUCCGCGUGAGUGAAGAAGGCCUUCGGGUUGUAAAGCUCUUUCGCAAGGGAAGAAAACUUAUGAUCGAAUAAAUCAUGAGGUUGACGGUACCUUGAUAAGAAGCACCGGCUAACUACGUGCCAGCAGCCGCGGUAAUACGUAGGGUGCGAGCGUUAAUCGGAAUUACUGGGCGUAAAGCGUGCGCAGGCGGUUUUGUAAGUCGGAUGUGAAAUCCCCGGGCUCAACCUGGGAACUGCGUUCGAAACUGCAAGGCUAGAGUGUGUCAGAGGGGGGUAGAAUUCCACGUGUAGCAGUGAAAUGCGUAGAGAUGUGGAGGAAUACCAAUGGCGAAGGCAGCCCCCUGGGAUAACACUGACGCUCAUGCACGAAAGCGUGGGGAGCAAACAGGAUUAGAUACCCUGGUAGUCCACGCCCUAAACGAUGUCAACUAGUUGUUGGUAGAGUAAAAUCUAUGAGUAACGUAGUACUACGCGUGAGUAGACGCCGUGGGAGGUACGGUCGCGAAGUAAGUUAAACGUUACGAAAGUAAGUUAGUUAGGCGNGAGAGNGCGACGGACGACGACGAGGGAGGAGG